Molecule: long non-coding RNA, 5796 nt
Filed under: Sus scrofa (pig)
Lineage: Eukaryota; Metazoa; Chordata; Mammalia; Artiodactyla; Suidae
Description: lncRNA (ENSSSCG00000061646.1)
Source: RNAcentral
UGAAUGAAACAAGACAUCAAGCAUAAAUUCUAUAUGAUUCUAUUUACAUGGAAUUUAAGAACAGGCAAAACUAAUAGGUUAGCUUUCAGGGGCAAGUAUUGACUGGGAAGGGCACAUGGAGCCUUCUGGUAUACUGCAAAUAUUUUCCAUCUCAAUCUGGGCAGUAGUUAAAUGGUUAUAUGUCUAUGUAAAAAUUCAUCAAGCUGUAUACAUAAGAGUCUUAAGAUUUGUGCACUUUAUUAUUUGUAGACUAUAUCUACUAGAAGAGAAAAAAAAAAGUCUUGAGAAGAGACAUAAGCAUUUUGGGGUCAGCCUCACCUUUCCAUCUGCCUUUUCCAACAAAGGGAUGGAGACGGAGGCCAAAUGAGCACCAUCCAAGUCAGCUCCUUCUGAAACAGAGACAAAAAUAACUACAUCUCAAGUAUAAGAACAUACUUUCCCCUUUUUUUUUUGGGGAAAGGCACAGGCUUUUUUCACAUUACCAGCCAGAGGGAAUCUUUCUCAAACUUUCCAUAGAGAUUCUCCCUUGAGCAGGCACCAAACAUGGACAUUUUCUACCAGAGAAAAACAUGCUGGGGAGUUAUAAGCCUCUGGAACGAAAGCGUUGGGAAGGAAAUGAUGUAGAUCCCCCUCCCUCACCUGGGCUCCUCCCAGUCCUCCUGGAGCCAUGUUCCAGUGGCUAUAUGUUGUCAUCAGGAGAGUGCUAAUCAGAGGGACUGCAAGGAUGGAAGACAAGGGCAGGAGAGUGGACUGGGUCAGACAGUUGCCAGGGUCCAGUCCACACUGAGCACUGGGCCUUUCCCAUCUGGUGGGAAGAAAGGUUUUGAUUCUUCAUCCCUCAUACAAAUGGAAGGAAGUCACAGACAGCUUAAAAAAAAAAAAAGGUGUUUAAAGCAAUGUAUACAUUGUGGACAGUGAACGAAGCAUCUCAAUUCUGUGUGGGUCUGUCCAUAUAAAGAUGAAGGAGCCUCAUUUUCCAGCUGCACUGCCUCCCUCCUCUCUCCUAGCUCCUCUUUCCUCCUGUCAUCUCUUUGUCCAGCUUCUUCAUUUUCCUUCUCAUCAUCUGAAAGCCUUGAGAACAAAUUUUUAGGAAGUACCUGUGUAGGGCAGGGUACUUGACAACUUUACCAGGAAGGUGUUAUUUUUCAGGUGAGGACACCAGCUUUAGGGGAGUGAAGUGAUUAGCUUGAGGUCAUGCACCUAAGAGAUGUCAGAGCCAGAGUUUGCAUCUAGGCUGGUGAGACUCUGUGUGGGCUCUGUCAUGGGGUUCAGUUGCCUUAAGUCUCCUUUUCUUGAGAAAGACAUUGCUGGAUUGUUAUAUCCUAUCCUGUCUCUCAAGAUAAGCAACAUUUUAGUAAAAGAUAUUAUUUUAUUUUAUUUGCUUUUUAGGGCCGUACCCAAGGCAUAUGGAAGUUCCCGGGCUAGGGGUCAAAUCGGAGCUACAGCUGCUGGCCUAUGCCACAGCCACAGCAACUGUGGGAUCCAAGGCGCAUCUGCAACCUACGCCACAGCUCAUGGCAAUGCCGGAUCCCUGACCCACUGAGUGAGGCCAGGGAUCAAACUUGCACCUCAUGGAUUCUAUUUGGAUUCGUUUCCACUACGCCACAAAGGGAACACCCUGAAAUACUUUUAAAAAUGAAAAUUAAUACAAAAUCUGUGAUGAAAAAUGUAAAUCUUUUGAAUAAAGACAGGAUCAGUGUUAGCAGUUUUUCAUUUUGCUUGGGCUCUAAUGUGACACCAUGUUGACUUAUUCCUCGGGUCCUUAUUUGGGCCCAUUGCUCUCCUUUGCCCAUGUUCUUGUCCCUUGCUCCUUCCGAUGGAUAAUAUUGUAUGCCCCCACCUUUCAUCUCAGUGUGAGUAACUCCAAAUUCUACAUGUCCAGCUCUGGGCAUGCUUCUCUUGGGUAUGUGUCUUUUUUUUCUUUUUUUUUUUUUUAACAACAGAAAUGUGUUUUCUCGAAGUUUUGGAGGCCCAAAGUAAGAAGUUGAGGUGUCAGUGGGGCCUCACUUUCUCCCAGGGCUCAAGGAGGAGAAGCCUUUUGUUUCUUCAAGCUUCUGUUCACUUCAGGAGUUUGGGGUACAUGUCUUGUGUUUCCACUGACCUUUUGGAAAGCUCCGCCUGAACUCUGGUGACCUAAAGUCAACUUUUCCUCAACUAAGCUCACCCUUCCUCCCAUCCUGUCCUCAGGUCUGCUCCUGUCAAUGUCAGCAGCAGCCUUCUAGUCACCCGGCUCUCCCCUCAUUCCUAUUUCCAACAGCCAAUCUGCUGCCCACCCUUGUUUAUUAUCAAGUACCUCCUACAACUGCCCUUUCUUAUCCAAAAGCCCAGACAGACUAUGCCUGAACUGGCACUUGCUUGGGGUGGGAAGGCACAGAAGCAAGAACUUAAGCAUAAUCAUUUGUCUGAGGACCAGAGCUGUAGUGAGGGGCGUAGAAAGGGAUGGGCUUACUUAGAUCUGUGCAGACAGGGCAAGCAGAGGUUGGAGAAAGAACUAAGCACCACGUUGUUGAAAUAUCUUCUCAAUCUUUGAUUCUGUAAGGGAACAUAUAGGAUGUUCCAUGCUAUCUUCACUUGCUACAUGCUAGGGAGACAAAGAUUGAAAAUCAUUUCAGUUCUUGAGAAGCUCACAAUCUGGUGGGAAAGACAGACCCACAAAUAAACCCCACAGGAGCAUGCAGUUUGGGGUAACUGAGGAGGAAGUCACCAACUGAAGAUGAAAAGAUGGGCUAGGAAAGUUGCCCAGAGGAAAAGAUACUGAGCUGAACUUCAGUGUUGAAUGAAGGAGAUGAUUGAUGUCACUGGUGAUGAUGUUAGUCAUUAUGAAGAAGAUAGUGAAAAUCACCAAGGUGAUAAUUAUGCACAGGGAGACUCCAUCAAAAAGAUGGAGGUGAUAGGGCUGAGGAACGCAAACCACCUUGGUACCUCUGAUGUAAUGGAUUGGGCAGUGAUCCCAAACCAGUCCAGGAGGCCACACUGUGACUUCAGGUGUCUUUUCAUAGUCAUGGCUUAUGAUUCAAGAUAUAGUGUACCAGGAGUUCCCCUUGUGGCUCAGCAGUAAUGAACCCGACUAGUAUCCAUGAGGACAUGGGUUCAAUCCCUGGCCCUGCUCAGUGUGUUAAGGAUCCAGCAUUGCUGUGAGCUGUGGUGUAGGGUCGAAGAUUCGGCUGGGAUCUGUUGUUGCUGUGGCUGUGGCAGGCACAUCUGCUCUGUGUCCAGAGAGCUUGUGGAAGAUUAAAAAAGGAGCUGUACUUCCUAUGCCCUUCCAGUUCUAGAAUCACUGACCUUGGUAACUGGUAACUCUAGAGGGGCUUUCUCUCUCCCAAUUGGUCUGUCACAUGCUUGAAGUCUCCCGAUUAACACAUCAUUUCCUUAGCUUGUCUUGCAUCUCCAGAUGCAAGAGUUGGAAGGAUAUAUUAAGGCAUUAUUACUCCCAAACACCCCAGCAUAAGAGUUUAACAGCUUAUUGUCUCCUGGGUCACUGUAUUUUAAUACAAUGAAGGAAAACCAGCUUAAGAGUCUGGACCAUUUCUCAAUGAACAGGAUUGGGUGAGGAUGUGUUACAGAAGGGUUGGUAGCUUUGGGACCCCCAAAGCUUGAGGAUGAAGUCUGCAGGUGAUGGGAUCUGAGGAAGCCACUCUAGGACUCCCUGUUGCUAAUUAGAGUUGACCCUGGGAUAUAACUUCCUGAAGUAUUGAUCCAAAAUUACCCUCCUAGAACUUUGGUUGUUAUUACACCAUUGCCUGGGCCUCUUGCCUUCCACUACCACCUCCUCACCCGCUACCAGUUCCUCCCUGGGUACCUUGCUAAUAAGCUGUGUCCACAAGGGUUCUUAUCUCAGGAAAGUCUCAUCAUAAGGCAAUGGCUCUAACUCAUUCUCCUUUUUCUGGCUUCCUUCAGUCCAAAUCAUUUGGGUACCUGGCCCAUACUGUUUGGGCCAUGUCUAUGAGCCUUGCCUUCCUGGUUUUAGUGUAAGUUCUCUUGUCUCCCCUGGUUUGCCUGGCAGGCACUGGGACAUCCCUAGCACCACCCUUUGUCAGAGGUGGAAGGUCCAGGGGGUCUUUGAGACCAAAAGAGGAAACAGAGGCCCAGAAAAGCUAAAGGGCUUGUUGACUAAAUGAUACUUUCUCUUCUUCUCCCAACUGAGAUGUACAGGGAGACAUUUUGUCCCCAUGAUGAUCUGUUCUUGGUUUAUUGAGAUGAUGAUGAUGAUGAUGAUGGCUCUUGCUAUGUGGUUUCUUGAGGAGUCCCAGGCCUUUGGCGUGUGUAAUUAGGAAACUUCCCGAAGCCUUUCUAAGAGAGAGACCCUAUGUCCUGCAUUUCAGGCAAACUGCCUUCGGCUUAGAGAUAUAGAGUAGUGGGGAAGUCGAAGGGUAGCAAAGUGAAAGGAGAAUCACAGAAGGGUUUGGAGUGGGGUUCAGUGGACACUUGAGCACUUUAUCCCAGCCUUGGGUUGAGGAGGGGGCAGAGAAUGCCUUAAUGAUCAACUAAAGCCUUAGUUGAACGUUGAAGGCAAACAGGAGUUUCCAAGGUAGGGAGAUAGGCAAUUCCCUUCACAUUCAGUGUACAACCAACAUCUGAUGUAAAGAUGAUACUUUUUUAUUUGGAAAGACAUUUUUUUCAUAGAGGUAUAGGAACAGAGUUUGGAGUCAAAUGGGAUUUAAAUCUUGGCUCCAUCACUUUCUUUGCGACUCUGAGCAAGUCCAUUAUACUUUCCAAACCUCAAUACCGUCAUCUGUAAGUUAUGACAAUGAGUCCCACUUCACUGGAUGAUCAUCAAACUCAAAUGAGGCAAAUUAAUUCUUGAUGUGUAUGUGCAGAACCCUUGAGAAAUGGUUGUUGUGGUGUUCACAUAGAGAACUUUUAACUUUCAUCAUUACCAUAUGAAUAUUGAUUAUUCUCUCACUGUGUUCAAGUGUUGAAUGAACCUCAUCUUGUCUUGUGCAUCCUCAUUUAAGAGGACAGGAGAUAACACUGUCCAGAACUAGAAACUCUGAGAGGGUAAGGGACCUGCCCAUUCCUAUCUUAGGUUGAGUUCUCCAAGAAGCAGGCAUUCAGGUGAAGAUAGGAGUGUAAGCACUUUACUUGGGUGGUGAUCCCAGCAAACACUGGCUGGAGAGCAGGAAGUAAGGCAGGCAAGGGAAGUCAGUCCGUGGAGGAUGUGUGUUCAAUCCAUUUACCACCGUAGGCAGCUGGAGCUCUCUCCCACCAGGAGUGCAGUGUAAAGUAAACAUCUCAGGAUAGAAAGCCCAGAAUUAAACCCACACACCUACAGUCAACUAAUUUAUGACAAAGGAGGCAAGAAUAUACAAAGAAGAAAAGACAGCUCCUUCAAUAAGUGGUUAUGGGAAAAGUGGACAGCCACAUGUAAAAGAAUGAAAUUAAACACCUCAUAACACCAUGCACAAAAAUAAACUCAAAAUGGAAUAAGGACCUAAAUAUAAGACCAAAUACUAUAAAACUCUUAGAGGAAAACAUAGGCCAAACAAUCUCCGACAUAAACCACAGCAAUAUCUUCUCAGAUCCACUUCCUAGAGUAAUGACAAUAAAAGCAAAAAUAAACAAAUGGACUUAAUUAAACUUAAAAGUUUCUGCAUAGCAAAGGAAACCCUAAUCAUAACGAAAAGACAACCCACAGAAUGGGAGAAAAUAUUUGCAAAUGAAGCAACUGACAAGGGACUAAUCUCCAAAAUUUAUAAACACAUCCUGCAGCACAAUACCAAAAAACAAACAAACAAACAAACAACCCCAUCAAAAAAGUGGGCAAAAGACAAUUCUCUAAGGAAAACAUACAGAUGG